GCAAUUCGAAUUGUUUUGAUAAUUUUUUACUUAAUUUUCAAAAAUUUUUUAAACAUUUGUUAAUAAAAGUAAUUUUUUGAUGUAGUAUUAUAUUUAGAAAUAUUAAUUUUAUUUAUAGAGUAGAAGUACUGUGAAGGAAAGUUGAAAUAGAUUUAAAAAUUAAAUUUAAUAAAAGUAAAUUGAUAAAUUGUACCUUUUGUAUCAGGGCUUAUAAAAUAAAUUAUAAUGAUAUUAUAAUUCCCGAUUUAAGAAGGGCUAAUAUAUUAUGCUAGUUGAUGUGGUAUAAUCAUUAGAAAUAAUAUAUUUGCAAUGAAAUGUUAUUCGAUUCUUAAUAUAUCUGGUUUUUUGAGAAGUAAAUUUAAUUUGAUUUAUUUCUGUAAGGAUUUAAUUGCAUUAAAUUUUUAUAGAGAUGAUUUUAUAAUUUGGGGGAUAAGCUCCGGAUUAUUAAUUAUAAAAUUUAUUUAAAAGAAAUAAUUGUAAGCUUUAGAUUAGCUAUCAAUAAUAAUUUUGUUAUAAAUUAUAUUUAUUGUGAAAGAUUUUAUAAAAGUUUUAGUUUUUUAUCAGAAUAUAUGAUUUAAUAUUUAUUUUAGGGAAAUAAUGAUAAGAUUAGUAUAUAAAUAUGUAAAAAAAUAUUUAUUUGGAAGUUUAUAUUAAGGAACUAGGCAAAAUUUAUACUCGCCUGUUUAACAAAAACAUGUCUUUUUAGUGGAGAAUAUAAAGUCGGGCCUGCCCACUGAUAAAAAAAUUAAAGGGCCGCGGUAUUUUGACCGUGCAAAGGUAGCAUAAUCAUUAGUCUUUUAAUUGAAGGCUGGAAUGAAUGGUUUGACGAAGUAUAGACUGUCUCUGUAUAAUAUAUAGAAUUUAACUUUUGAGUUAAAAGGCUUAAAUUUAAAUAGAGGACGAGAAGACCCUAUAGAGUUUUAUGUACUUUUUUAAAUAAGUUUAUUUAGGUGAAGUAAUUUUUAUUUAGAAAGUAUAUUGGGUUGGGGUGACUUAAAGAUAAAAUUAACUCUUUAUUUGAUGAACAUUGAUUUAUGAAUAUGUGAUCCAUUUUUAGUGAUUAUAAGAUAAAAUUACCUUAGGGAUAACAGCGUAAUUUUUCUUGAGAGUUCUUAUCGACAGAAAAGUUUGCGACCUCGAUGUUGGACUAAGAAAAUGGCUUGAUGUAGCAGUUAGGUUAAUAAGUCUGUUCGACUUUUAAAUUCUUACAUGAUCUGAGUUCAGACCGGCGUGAGCCAGGUCGGUUUCUAUCCUUAUUUUAUAAAAAUAUUUUAGUACGAAAGGACCAAAUAUGAUAAAUAAUUUAUUUUUUAAGAACAAAAUUACUAUUUUGGCAGAAAAGUGCAUUGAAUUUAGAAUUCAAAUAUGUAAU
Molecule: ribosomal RNA, 1372 nt
Filed under: Conocephalus maculatus (maculated rice katydid)
Lineage: Eukaryota; Metazoa; Arthropoda; Insecta; Orthoptera; Tettigoniidae
Description: 16S ribosomal RNA
Rfam family: Bacterial large subunit ribosomal RNA (bases 897-1253)
Source: RNAcentral